Molecule: ribosomal RNA, 550 nt
Filed under: uncultured bacterium
Lineage: Bacteria
Description: bacterial SSU rRNA
Rfam family: Bacterial small subunit ribosomal RNA
Source: RNAcentral
UGGGGAAUUUUUCGCAAUGGGGGAAACCCUGACGAAGCAACGCCGCGUGGAGGAUGAAGGCCUUCGGGUCGUAAACUCCUGUCGACCGGGAAGAAUGCGCCCGACCUAACACGUCGAAGCGUUGACUGUACCGGUGGAGGAAGCCACGGCUAACUCUGUGCCAGCAGCCGCGGCAAUACAGAGGUGGCAAGCGUUGUUCGGAAUUACUGGGCGUAAAGGGCGCGUAGGCGGCCCGCCAAGUCCCGUGUGAAAGCCCCCGGCUCAACCGGGGAACGGCGCGGGAAACUAGCAGGCUUGAGUUCGGGAGAGGGAAGCGGAAUUCCGGGUGUAGCGGUGAAAUGCGCAGAUAUCCGGAGGAACACCGGUGGCGAAGGCGGCUUCCUGGACCGACACUGACGCUGAGGCGCGAAAGCUAGGGGAGCAAACGGGAUUAGAUACCCCGGUAGUCCUAGCCCUAAACGAUGAGAACUGGGUGUAGGGGGUAUGAACCCCCCCUGUGCCGAAGCUAACGCAUUAAGUUCUCCGCCUGGGGAGUACGGUCGCAAGGCUG